This 486-nucleotide long non-coding RNA is filed under the name Sarcophilus harrisii (Tasmanian devil). RNAcentral's name for it is "lncRNA (ENSSHAG00000022796.1)". Lineage: Eukaryota; Metazoa; Chordata; Mammalia; Dasyuromorphia; Dasyuridae. The record is from RNAcentral.
GGGAACUAGAGAACCAUCAUCUCAUCAAUUCCUCUGAGUUAACACCUUGUUUCAAGUCUAAUUCUCCAGAGUUUCCCAAUAUCUGUCAUUCUCUACACUCUUGUUAUCUUCCCAUUAGAUUGCAAUUUACCAAAGGCAUGGGGCACCCUUUCUUAUUUAUAUCCCUAACACUUGGCAUAAUGCUUCUCAUAUAGCAGAUAGAACCAGAAAAUGUGCUUCUGGAAGAGGAACAAAAGUUGUGAGUGCAGGGAGACACAAAGGAGCUAGUCCAAAACAAGAAACAAAGAGGGAAGUGGCGAAGCUGGCCCAGUAAGCAGACUCGAGGGAAACAAAGGGAGAGCCCAGGCUGAGCCUUUGAUAUCUUAGUGGAGUCUCCAGCUAAGUCUUCUCCCUGCCGAGCAUCCCCAUCACUUCAGUGAGUUGAGUGCCUUUCAAAAAGAAUCACUGGGAAGAACAGUUGAUAGAAAUCCAAGUGCAAAUCCUUCC